Molecule: ribosomal RNA, 100 nt
Filed under: Rhinopithecus bieti (black snub-nosed monkey)
Lineage: Eukaryota; Metazoa; Chordata; Mammalia; Primates; Cercopithecidae
Source: RNAcentral
GAGCCCUUCGACCCUGGCUUGAUCUUGGAAGCUAAGCAGGGUAGGGACUGGCUAGAACUUGGUAAGGGAGACUGCCUGGGAAAACCGGGCGCUCAAAAAC